CCAGCCCGCCCCGGAAAGCGCUUUACCGCCAUUUCAGGCUGCAGAAGAAGCAGCGUGCUCGUCUCAGCCCCGCGUUAGUGGAGCACAGCAGCGCUGCGGACUCGUUUUUUUUAACCCCAGGAUUCUCUCUUAUUACUCUUCUUUAUCGUUAUUUUUAUUUUAAGUUGAGGUGAGUUAUCAGGCGGGAGGUGAGAGGAUGAGUUACGGCCGGCCUCCGCCCGAUGUCGAGGGCAUGACUUCGCUGAAGGUGGACAACCUGACUUACCGCACGUCCCCCGAAACGCUGCGCCGCGUGUUCGAGAAGUACGGCCGCGUCGGGGACGUGUACAUCCCGCGGGACCGCUACACGAAGGAGAGCCGCGGCUUCGCCUUCGUGCGCUUCCACGACAAGCGCGACGCCGAGGACGCGAUGGACGCCAUGGACGGAGCCCUGCUGGACGGGCGGGAGCUGCGGGUGCAAAUGGCGCGCUACGGCCGCCCGCCGGACUCCCACUACGGCCGCCGGGGAGGCCCACCGCGCAGAUAUGGAGGGUACGGAAGGAGAAGUCGCAGCCGCAGUCCCCGCCGCAGGAGACACAGCCGAUCCAGGAGCCGAAGCCGCUCUCGCUCCCGGAGCCGAUCCCGCUACAGCAGGUCCAGAUCCAGGUCUUACUCCCGGUCCCGCAGCCGCUCCAAGAGCCGGACACCACGCAGAAGCAAGUCCAAAUCCCCGUCCAGGUCCCGCUCUCGCUCCAAGUCCAAAUCCCACUCCAGGAGUCGCAGCCCCCAGUCGAACAGGGGGUCUAAAUCCAGGUCCAGGUCCAGAAGUAGGGCCAAGUCUCCCGAGGGAACUGGAACUGAGCAAGAGCCGUGAACUCGAAUCUAGCUGCUGAUUCCUGUUUGCAAAAGAGGAGUUUGGGGGCAGUUUGAGAGCAGUUAGUGUGUGAUCCGACCAUUGGCUGCCUGCUGCUGGUUGGCGGUUACUAUGGAGCAGGUCGGUCUGAUUGAGUGUUGAGGUGGUGUUGAGAUGAUCUCAGAUGACUGAGACCUCUUCAGUGAGGGCAUCGCUUCAAAUGGGGGAAAAGUCCGUCUGAGGAUUUCUAAAAAUUCGCCUGUUCAAAUCGAAAGAAAGGUUAUUGUAACUUGGUCUACAUCUUUUUAAAUGAUUUUUCUUUCUUUCAUUUUUUCUUUUGCUUUCAGUUUCUUUAAAAAUGUUCUGUAUCAUAUAUAUUGAAGUUUGUGAUCAUAUUUAGGAUUUAAAAGUGCUUAAGUGGGAUUCUUAGGUGAAAACAACAUAUUUUUCUUCAUUUUUGCUAGUUUUUUUGCAUUUGUGUAGUAGUACUUCAUGUAAUUGAAUCUCCCAGACAAUAAAGUAAGUUCAUUUUUUUAAUCACAACUCUUCAAUCCCUUUCAUUAACACCUUUAUUGUGUAUUAAAGUCUUUGGAUGUUUCAUCUUUGAGAAAAUUCACUCUGUAAUAAAGCUCUGGCCGGAAAUCAAACUCUUAACGUAAAUACACAAACAUGUUAAAGAAUAAAUUUGGACAAAAACUAAACACUUAUUGUAAAAAUCGCGUUUGUAGUUGCUGAGCAAACAUAUAUAUUUCUCUUUUUUUUUUUUUUUUGUAUGUGUAUGGUACCUGCUAAGUUCACGGAGUUGUGAUUUCUAAUAUUCUCUCUUGUGUAUCUUUUGUGCACUAGGCGCAGUUGCGCAGCAGUUUUGCAGAGUAUUGCUGGUUAGCUGUUAAGGUGGCGUGUUGCUGUGCAGAGUGCUUGGCUGUUUCCAGUAUUCUCCUGAUUGCUCCUGUGUAACGGCUUGAUUUGACGGGUUUUUAAAGCUCCGGCAGAUCGUCAAUUAAAUUUUUUAUUUUAAUAGAAUGAUCCUGAGCAGGUCUUUCUGUGUAAAAACCCUUUUUUGUUCAUUAAAUCCAUAAAAUAACAUUUGAGAGGAGAUGCAGCAUUUAUUACACAAUAGCACCAUUUGUCUAUAUGUGGAGGAAGUACUCUACUGUAAGUUCCAUGUGAAUGCUAAUAAAACUCCUUUUGUUUAACA
This is an RNA transcript of Astyanax mexicanus (Mexican tetra), 2030 nucleotides long. It is a transcript of the gene named serine and arginine rich splicing factor 2a, with no coding region annotated. NCBI's taxonomy places the organism in Eukaryota, Metazoa, Chordata, Actinopteri, Characiformes, Acestrorhamphidae. The transcript has 4 exons. The record is from RefSeq and is a predicted model, not a curated record.